This 253-nucleotide ribosomal RNA is filed under the name uncultured bacterium. Its description in RNAcentral is "partial 16S ribosomal RNA". It matches the Rfam family "Bacterial small subunit ribosomal RNA", at positions 524 to 776 of the family's 1533-position model. The record is from RNAcentral.
GACAGAGGGUGCAAACGUUGCUCGGAAUUACUGGGCGUAAAGGGCGCGUAGGCGGGAUGGCAAGUCGGUCGUGAAAUCCCUCGGCUCAACUGAGGAUCGUCGAUCGAUACUGCCGUUCUUGAGGAUUGCAGAGGAGACUGGAAUUCCCGGUGUAGCGGUGAAAUGUGUAGAGAUCGGGAGGAACACCGGUGGCGAAGGCGGGUCUCUGGGCAAUUCCUGACGCUGAGGCGCGAAAGCGUGGGGAGCAAACAGG